RNAcentral lists this transfer RNA (87 nucleotides) under Mesocricetus auratus (golden hamster). It matches the Rfam family "tRNA". From Rfam's summary of the family: Transfer RNA (tRNA) molecules are approximately 80 nucleotides in length. Their secondary structure includes four short double-helical elements and three loops (D, anti-codon, and T loops). Lineage: Eukaryota; Metazoa; Chordata; Mammalia; Rodentia; Cricetidae. The record is from Rfam by way of RNAcentral.
CCUUCGAUAGCUCAGCUGGUAGAGCGGAGGACUGUAGAGUGUGCGACAGCCAUCCUUAGGUCGCUGGUUCGAUUCCGGCUCGAAGGA